This 254-nucleotide ribosomal RNA is filed under the name uncultured bacterium. RNAcentral describes it as "partial 16S ribosomal RNA". It matches the Rfam family "Bacterial small subunit ribosomal RNA", at positions 524 to 776 of the family's 1533-position model. The record is from RNAcentral.
CACGUAGGGGGCGAGCGUUGUCCGGAUUUAUUGGGCGUAAAGAGCUCGUAGGCGGCUCAGUAAGUCGGGUGUGAAAUUUCAGGGCUCAACCCUGAAACGCCACCCGAUACUGCUGUGGCUAGAGUCCGGUAGGGGAGCGUGGAAUUCCUGGUGUAGCGGUGAAAUGCGCAGAUAUCAGGAGGAACACCGGUGGCGAAGGCGGGUCUCUGGGCCGUAACUGACGCUGAGGAGCGAAAGCGUGGGGAGCGAACAGG